ACGUGGCAUCCUGUUAUGGCAGCGUGAGCAGCCGAAUACCAGCUUCCAAGGAGUCUGUCUGUCGGCCCAAAUGGCAAUUGGCAUCUUCAGCGCAGAUUCCUUGCCUACUCUGGAAAGCUGGGGCUCCAUUUCUAGCUGUCUUCCCUGGCUGGGUGUAGCUGCAGUCCUGUGUAAUUCCAUGUCCUUCCAUUUGACAACACUUUUUGGUUUCUGGUCUUCCCAGUUUUUCCCCUAAGGAGGUUGGAGCUGCUUGUGAGCAGGAUCUCAUCUCCUCGGCGGCCCUCAGCGGCCCUCGUGAGAGCUCACAAGGAGCUUCCCAGCUAAGGCGACGGGGCUGUGCUCCCAAAGGUGACCGUGAGGAGGCGGGACAAAGGCCUUGGCUUUUCCUCCCCGGCCCCUCCCCCGGGAGCCAGAGACCAAAGCUCGUCCCUCUGCUGCCCUGCCUGGCUCGGAUGGAAAGGACUGAGGAAGGAGGCCUCCAACCAGAAGGAGAGCUGCUCGCUCAGGGCUGGAGAAUGGGCUUCGGGGCCACCCUGUCUCCCAGCUGACCUGCGAGACACACUCCCAAGUGGCAACCCGGUCGGAGGCCGCCGCAGGGUCUGUGAGCGCUCCGGCGCCGUCAGCUCCCCGCUGACGGACCUACAGGGCUCUGCUCUGCAGACUGCUCCGUGCCGGCCCCAGCCUCGGAAACUCUCCAAGGAGCUGCCGACGCAGUGAUGAGCCAGCUCGGGCUUGGAACCCAACCGGGCUAUUUUUAAAAGCUGUCUCCCAAAGCGACGCUGUGACACAGAGCAAGCUGCGUGCAGAGGAGACGCGGCCCAGCCUGUGAGGAUCUCCAGACCUCACGUCAGCUGAGGUCGGGAAUACCAAAGGAGGAAGACAGGCUUCUGAGAGGUCAAGAUUUACUGGACUGUAUACAAUUCAAAAAUUUGUACCUAUUCAGGUUUGGGAACAGUAUUAACCUAGGAAUGCUUAAGCAGAAGAAGUGUGGAAAACAAGCCUGAAAAUAUUCCCCUCUGAAGGACGAGAUCUUUGAACUGCUGUGCGAGUGUGUACCAGGAAUUUCAGAUGACUCGGACAAGCUGUGGUUGAUUGACGAUUGACUAUGAGAUACACGAUUAGGCCUCAUAGCUUCCAGAGGAUGUGCCCUUCCUUUCUGACAUCAGUGUCACGACUGUGGCCAGACCGAGAUUCUCCCACGCCGAGCACAGCAUGGGCACCAUUCUCCAGGACUUCACAAAGCCCCUUCCGGCCGGAUUCAUUCUCAGCCCCCGCCAACCUCCGGGCCCUGCUGUGAGAGGGCCCUUCCCUCUCUCCUCAAGCUUGCAUCGCGCAUGCUCUGGUGAAGCAUUGGAAGUGCCGGCUUUAGAGGCUGUUCUGUGGCGUCUGUUCUCUGGACAGCACCCUGAGAGUUACUUACCUCCAGUGAAAUCUGCCGGGAGGUAAACAUCUUAAUCCAUUCACAGUCCAUGCCACCAUAUUUCAGCCUCAGCACGGGGCCAAAAAUAAUGGAGCCAGCAGGCCAUGGACCGAAACCUCUGAAAUUGUGCACCAAAACAAAUACUUCUCCUUGUAAGUUGUUUACCUCAAGUAUUUUUUCCCAGCAGCAGAAAGCUGACCAAUCCAAUAGUUGUAGAUUGAGGCUCAUGGUGGGCUUGAGGGGUCCCCAGACAGCACCCCGAGCCUCCUUGAUUGUCUCUACCGGACCUGACAUGGUCAAGAGAGGAAAAGGUGCUGAACAGAAGAGAGACCUGUCCAGAACCACCCUGGGGUCCAAUAGUGUAGGGUAAGAAAUGUGAGUAGAGAAAUGUGCAGCUUUGAGGUGCUGACUGCCUCUACAGGACAUUGCUGGCACGGGAUCUUGCCACCCUUUAGAUCCUCUGACCAUCCUUAAUUCUCCAGAGAAAUGACAGAAUUAUUUCAUAAACUCUAGUUGUACCGAGCAUGAUAACCUUUAUAGUGCUGCUAUGUCACAAAUAUCACUGGUUCAUGAGAUGAGCCUGGAUAUCAGUAGACCAUUCACCAUCCACCUUCCAUCUUCCAUCCAUCCGUCCAUCUUUCCAAGGUCUGUAGGAAUGGCCUAGCUCAAAACACAAAAGGCUAAAUGUGUCUCAGUUACGUGCAGGGAGCUGCAGGAUCUCCAGUAUGAUUUGCAUUUAAAGAUGACACACACACACACACACACACACACA
This is a non-coding RNA of Heterocephalus glaber (naked mole-rat), 2192 nucleotides long. The record is from RefSeq and is a predicted model, not a curated record. NCBI's taxonomy places the organism in Eukaryota, Metazoa, Chordata, Mammalia, Rodentia, Bathyergidae.